RNAcentral lists this transfer RNA (71 nucleotides) under Sphaerodactylus townsendi. Its description in RNAcentral is "tRNA-Ala". The record is from RNAcentral. Lineage: Eukaryota; Metazoa; Chordata; Lepidosauria; Squamata; Sphaerodactylidae.
GUAUCAUGGCUCAGCAGGAAAGCGUUUGUUUUGCAUACAGAAGGUCCCUGGUUCAAUCCCCAGCAUCUCCA